This 807-nucleotide long non-coding RNA is filed under the name Homo sapiens (human). Its description in RNAcentral is "non-protein coding lnc-CPN1-1:1". The record is from RNAcentral. Lineage: Eukaryota; Metazoa; Chordata; Mammalia; Primates; Hominidae.
CAGGCGGUGAAACGCAAGAUUCAGGCCCUGCCGCAGCAGGCGGACAAGGCGAAGACUGCGCGCAGGGCCUGCAGCGGCAGCUGGACUGGGGGCGCGAGCGGGGGGCGCGAGCGAGCGGCGCGAGAAAGCUGAAGGCGAUGUGGCUGUCCUCGACUGACGCAUCCAGCUCUUUUUUUUUUUUUUUUUCUUUUUUUAUUAUUAUUAUUAUACUUUAAGUUUUAGGGUACAUGUGCAUCCAGCUCUUUAAGGAGGAGUUGGACGGGGCUCGGGAACGACUGGUCACGGCCCUGCAGAAGCUAGAGGAGGGGGGAAAAGGCUGCAGAUGAGCGUGAGAGAGAAUGAAGGUGAUAGAAAACCGGGCUAUGAGGGAUGAGGAGAAGAUGGAUUCGGGAGAUGCAGCUCAAAGAGGCCAAGCACACUGCGGCCGGAGGCUGACCGCAAAUAAGAGGAGGUAGCUCGGAAACUGGCCAUCACAGAGGGCGAACUGGCCAGAGCAGAGGAGCGUGCAGAGGUGUCUGAACUAAAAUGUGGUGACCUGGCAGAAGAACUCAAGAAUGUCACUAACAAUCUGAAACCGCCGGAGGCUGCAUUGGAAAGUAUUCUGACAAGGAGGACAAAUACGAAGAAAAAAUUAAACUUCUGUCUGACAACUGAAGGAGGCUGAGAUCCGUGCUGAAUUUGUAGAGAUAAUGGUUGCAAAACUGGAAAAGACAACUGAUGACCUGGAAGAGAAAUUUGCCCAGGCCAAAGAAGAGAGCGCGGGCUUAUAUCAGACACUGGAUCAGGCACUAAAUGAACUUGACUGUA